UGUAGCAAUACACUGAUGGCGACCGGCAAACGGGUGCGGAACACGUACGCAACCGUUCCUUUAACUGGAGAAUAGCCCGGGGAAACCCGGAUUAAUACUCCGUAACAUUAUGAAGUGGCAUCACUUUAUAAUUAUAGCUCCGGCGGUUGAAGAUGGGCGUGCGUCUGAUUAGGUAGUUGGCGGGGUAACGGCCCACCAAGCCUACGAUCAGUAACUGGUGUGAGAGCACGACCAGUCACACGGGCACUGAGACACGGGCCCGACUCCUACGGGAGGCAGCAGUAAGGAAUAUUGGUCAAUGGACGCAAGUCUGAACCAGCCAUGCCGCGUGGAGGAUGAAGGUCCUCUGGAUUGUAAACUUCUUUUAUUUGGGAAGAAACCCCCGAUUUCUAUUGGGGUUGACGGUACCAGAUGAAUAAGCACCGGCUAACUCCGUGCCAGCAGCCGCGGUAAUACGGAGGGUGCAAGCGUUAUCCGGAUUCACUGGGUUUAAAGGGUGCGUAGGCGGGUUGGUAAGUCCGUGGUGAAAUCUCCAAGCUUAACUUGGAAACUGCCGUGGAUACUAUCAAUCUUGAAUAUAGUGGAGGUGAGCGGAAUAUGUCAUGUAGCGGCGAAAUGCUUAGAUAUGACAUAGAACACCCAUUGCGAAGGCAGCUCGCUACACUAUUAUUGACGCUGAGGCACGAAAGCGUGGGGAUCAAACAGGAUUAGAUACCCUGGUAGUCCACGCCCUAAACGAUGAUUACUCGACAUCAGCGAUACACUGUUGGUGUCUGAGCGAAAGCAUUAAGUAAUCCACCUGGGAAGUACGACCGCAAGGUUGAAACUC
RNAcentral lists this ribosomal RNA (829 nucleotides) under uncultured Sphingobacteriales bacterium. RNAcentral's name for it is "bacterial SSU rRNA". It matches the Rfam family "Bacterial small subunit ribosomal RNA", at positions 75 to 902 of the family's 1533-position model. The record is from RNAcentral. Lineage: Bacteria; Pseudomonadati; Bacteroidota; Sphingobacteriia; Sphingobacteriales.